AUUGAACGCUGGCGGCAUGCCUUACACAUGCAAGUCGAACGGUAACAGGUCUUUCGGGAUGCUGACGAGUGGCGAACGGGUGAGUAAUACAUCGGAACGUGCCUAGUAGUGGGGGAUAACUACUCGAAAGAGUGGCUAAUACCGCAUGAGAUCUAUGGAUGAAAGCAGGGGACCUUUGGGCCUUGUGCUACUAGAGCGGCCGAUGGCAGAUUAGGUAGUUGGUGGGAUAAAAGCUUACCAAGCCUACGAUCUGUAGCUGGUCUGAGAGGACGAUCAGCCACACUGGGACUGAGACACGGCCCAGACUCCUACGGGAGGCAGCAGUGGGGAAUUUUGGACAAUGGGCGCAAGCCUGAUCCAGCAAUGCCGCGUGCAGGAUGAAGGCCUUCGGGUUGUAAACUGCUUUUGUACGGAACGAAAAGUCUUGGGUUAAUACCCUGGGAUCAGGACGGUACCGUAAGAAUAAGCACCGGCGAACUACGU
RNAcentral lists this ribosomal RNA (483 nucleotides) under uncultured bacterium. RNAcentral describes it as "partial 16S ribosomal RNA". It matches the Rfam family "Bacterial small subunit ribosomal RNA", at positions 30 to 506 of the family's 1533-position model. The record is from RNAcentral.